RNAcentral lists this ribosomal RNA (409 nucleotides) under uncultured bacterium. RNAcentral's name for it is "bacterial SSU rRNA". It matches the Rfam family "Bacterial small subunit ribosomal RNA", at positions 505 to 916 of the family's 1533-position model. The record is from RNAcentral.
GUGCCAGCCGCCGCGGUAAUACGGAGGGUGCAAGCGUUAUCCGGAUUCACUGGGUUUAAAGGGUGCGUAGGUGGGCAGGUAAGUCAGUGGUGAAAUCUCCGGGCUUAACCCGGAAACUGCCGUUGAUACUAUCUGUCUUGAAUGUAGUGGAGGUGAGCGGAAUAUGUCAUGUAGCGGUGAAAUGCUUAGAUAUGACAUAGAACACCCAUUGCGAAGGCAGCUCGCUACACUAUUAUUGACACUGAGGCACGAAAGCGUGGGGAUCAAACAGGAUUAGAUACCCUGGUAGUCCACGCCCUAAACGAUGGAUACUCGACAUCAGCGAUACACAGUUGGUGUCUGAGCGAAAGCAUUAAGUAUCCCACCUGGGAAGUACGACCGCAAGGUUGAAACUCAAAGGAAUUGACGG